UACGGGGGGGGCAAGCGUUGUUCGGAAUUACUGGGCGUAAAGGGCUCGUAGGUGGCCAACUAAGUCAGACGUGAAAUCCCCAGGCUCAACUUGGGAACUGCGUCUGAUACUGGAUGGCUUGGAUUUGGGAGAGGGAUGCGGAAUUCCAGGUGUAGCGGUGAAAUGCGUAGAUAUCUGGAGGAACACCGGUGGCGAAGGCGGCAUCCUGGACCAACAUUGACGCUGAGGAGCGAAAGCCAGGGGAGCAAACGGG
RNAcentral lists this ribosomal RNA (253 nucleotides) under uncultured bacterium. RNAcentral's name for it is "partial 16S ribosomal RNA". It matches the Rfam family "Bacterial small subunit ribosomal RNA", at positions 524 to 776 of the family's 1533-position model. The record is from RNAcentral.